Molecule: ribosomal RNA, 497 nt
Filed under: uncultured bacterium
Lineage: Bacteria
Description: partial 16S ribosomal RNA
Rfam family: Bacterial small subunit ribosomal RNA
Source: RNAcentral
GAUGAACGCUGGCGGCGUGCCUAAUACAUGCAAGUCGAGCGAACAGACGAGGAGCUUGCUCCUCUGACGUUAGCGGCGGACGGGUGAGUAACACGUGGAUAACCUACCUAUAAGACUGGGAUAACUUCGGGAAACCGGAGCUAAUACCGGAUAAUAUAUUGAACCGCAUGGUUCAAUAGUGAAAGACGGUUUUGCUGUCACUUAUAGAUGGAUCCGCGCCGCAUUAGCUAGUUGGUAAGGUAACGGCUUACCAAGGCGACGAUGCGUAGCCGACCUGAGAGGGUGAUCGGCCACACUGGAACUGAGACACGGUCCAGACUCCUACGGGAGGCAGCAGUGGGGAAUCGUCCGCAAUGGGCGAAAGCCUGACGGAGCAACGCCGCGUGAGUGAUGAAGGUCUUCGGAUCGUAAAACUCUGUUAUUAGGGAAGAACAAAUGUGUAAGUAACUAUGCACGUCUUGACGGUACCUAAUCAGAAAGCCACGGCUAACUACGUG